GGUGCGGUAGUUCAGUCGGUUAGAAUACCGGCCUGUCACGCCGGGGGGCGCGGGUUCGAGUCCCGUCCGCACCG
RNAcentral lists this transfer RNA (74 nucleotides) under Yersinia enterocolitica (type O:9) str. YE212/02. RNAcentral describes it as "transfer RNA-Asp". It matches the Rfam family "tRNA". Rfam says of the family: Transfer RNA (tRNA) molecules are approximately 80 nucleotides in length. Their secondary structure includes four short double-helical elements and three loops (D, anti-codon, and T loops). The record is from RNAcentral. Lineage: Bacteria; Pseudomonadati; Pseudomonadota; Gammaproteobacteria; Enterobacterales; Yersiniaceae. RNAcentral also lists the same sequence under 1 other name.